UACGUAGGGUGCAAGCGUUGUCCGGAAUUAUUGGGCGUAAAGCGCACGUAGGCGGCUUAGCAAGUCGGAAGUGAAAUCCCUCGGCUCAACCAAGGAAGUGCUUUCGAAACUGCUGAGCUUGAGUACUUAAGAGGAUCGCGGAAUUCCCGGUGUAGAGGUGAAAUUCGUAGAUAUCGGGAGGAACACCAGUGGCGAAGGCGGCGAUCUGGGAAGAUACUGACGCUGAGGUGCGAAAGCGUGGGGAGCAAACAGG
This 253-nucleotide ribosomal RNA is filed under the name uncultured bacterium. RNAcentral describes it as "partial 16S ribosomal RNA". It matches the Rfam family "Bacterial small subunit ribosomal RNA", at positions 524 to 776 of the family's 1533-position model. The record is from RNAcentral.